AACGAACGCUGGCGGCAGGCCUAACACAUGCAAGUCGAGCGAGAAGGUUAUGACGGAUUCUUCGGAUGACAGAUUAACUGGAAAGCGGCGGACGGGUGAGUAACGCGUGGGUAACCUGCCCCAUACACAGGGAUAGCCAUUGGAAACGAUGAUUAAUACCUGAUAACACAUUUGAAUCGCAUGGUUUAAAAUGUCAAAGAUUUAUCGGUAUGGGAUGGACCCGCGUCUGAUUAGCUAGUUGGUAAGGUAAUGGCUUACCAAGGCGACGAUCAGUAGCCGACCUGAGAGGGUGAUCGGCCACACUGGAACUGAGACACGGUCCAGACUCCUACGGGAGGCAGCAGUGGGGGAAUAUUGCACAAUGGGCGCAAGCCUGAUGCAGCAACGCCGCGUGAACGAAGAAGGCUUUUCGGGCGUAAAGUUCUUUCUUAGGGAAAAUGACGGUACCUAAGGAAUAAGCACCGGCUAAA
Molecule: ribosomal RNA, 470 nt
Filed under: uncultured bacterium
Lineage: Bacteria
Description: bacterial SSU rRNA
Rfam family: Bacterial small subunit ribosomal RNA
Source: RNAcentral